RNAcentral lists this ribosomal RNA (1308 nucleotides) under Staphylococcus aureus 12S01153. RNAcentral describes it as "bacterial SSU rRNA". It matches the Rfam family "Bacterial small subunit ribosomal RNA", at positions 230 to 1528 of the family's 1533-position model. Lineage: Bacteria; Bacillati; Bacillota; Bacilli; Caryophanales; Staphylococcaceae. The record is from RNAcentral.
UCCGCGCUGCAUUAGCUAGUUGGUAAGGUAACGGCUUACCAAGGCAACGAUGCAUAGCCGACCUGAGAGGGUGAUCGGCCACACUGGAACUGAGAUACGGUCCAGACUCCUACGGGAGGCAGCAGUAGGGAAUCUUCCGCAAUGGGCGAAAGCCUGACGGAGCAACGCCGCGUGAGUGAUGAAGGUCUUCGGAUCGUAAAACUCUGUUAUUAGGGAAGAACAUAUGUGUAAGUAACUGUGCACAUCUUGACGGUACCUAAUCAGAAAGCCACGGCUAACUACGUGCCAGCAGCCGCGGUAAUACGUAGGUGGCAAGCGUUAUCCGGAAUUAUUGGGCGUAAAGCGCGCGUAGGCGGUUUUUUAAGUCUGAUGUGAAAGCCCACGGCUCAACCGUGGAGGGUCAUUGGAAACUGGAAAACUUGAGUGCAGAAGAGGAAAGUGGAAUUCCAUGUGUAGCGGUGAAAUGCGCAGAGAUAUGGAGGAACACCAGUGGCGAAGGCGACUUUCUGGUCUGUAACUGACGCUGAUGUGCGAAAGCGUGGGGAUCAAACAGGAUUAGAUACCCUGGUAGUCCACGCCGUAAACGAUGAGUGCUAAGUGUUAGGGGGUUUCCGCCCCUUAGUGCUGCAGCUAACGCAUUAAGCACUCCGCCUGGGGAGUACGACCGCAAGGUUGAAACUCAAAGGAAUUGACGGGGACCCGCACAAGCGGUGGAGCAUGUGGUUUAAUUCGAAGCAACGCGAAGAACCUUACCAAAUCUUGACAUCCUUUGACAACUCUAGAGAUAGAGCCUUCCCCUUCGGGGGACAAAGUGACAGGUGGUGCAUGGUUGUCGUCAGCUCGUGUCGUGAGAUGUUGGGUUAAGUCCCGCAACGAGCGCAACCCUUAAGCUUAGUUGCCAUCAUUAAGUUGGGCACUCUAAGUUGACUGCCGGUGACAAACCGGAGGAAGGUGGGGAUGACGUCAAAUCAUCAUGCCCCUUAUGAUUUGGGCUACACACGUGCUACAAUGGACAAUACAAAGGGCAGCGAAACCGCGAGGUCAAGCAAAUCCCAUAAAGUUGUUCUCAGUUCGGAUUGUAGUCUGCAACUCGACUACAUGAAGCUGGAAUCGCUAGUAAUCGUAGAUCAGCAUGCUACGGUGAAUACGUUCCCGGGUCUUGUACACACCGCCCGUCACACCACGAGAGUUUGUAACACCCGAAGCCGGUGGAGUAACCUUUUAGGAGCUAGCCGUCGAAGGUGGGACAAAUGAUUGGGGUGAAGUCGUAACAAGGUAGCCGUAUCGGAAGGUGCGGCUGGAUCACCU